This 253-nucleotide ribosomal RNA is filed under the name uncultured bacterium. Its description in RNAcentral is "partial 16S ribosomal RNA". It matches the Rfam family "Bacterial small subunit ribosomal RNA", at positions 524 to 776 of the family's 1533-position model. The record is from RNAcentral.
UACGAAGGGGGCUAGCGUUGCUCGGAAUCACUGGGCGUAAAGCGCACGUAGGCGGCUUGUUAAGUCAGGGGUGAAAUCCUGGAGCUCAACUCCAGAACUGCCUUUGAUACUGGCGAUCUCGAGUCCGGGAGAGGUGAGUGGAACUGCGAGUGUAGAGGUGAAAUUCGUAGAUAUUCGCAAGAACCCCAGUGGCGAAGGCGGCUCACUGGCCCGGUACUGACGCUGAGGUGCGAAAGCGGGGGGAGCAAACAGG